CAAGAGAUGGUUUUUCGACCAAAAGACAGCCCCGUCGAGAGAUUAAUUCACCGUGUCGAUUUUUAUUUAAGUUCUGAUCGAUCAAUCUUCAAACUGAUCUUAAAGAAUUUUCUUGACCAAAAUUAUAUCUGCUCGUGAGGGUUAUUACAUUCUUAGGGGAGACUCGGCUCUUCGUGAACAUGUGGAGGGCAAAGUGAGAAGAAAGGAGAGGUGUCGUCGUUUUUGGCUCUUUCGGUUUCUCCUGUCUCGAUUGAGAAAAUUGUCUAUGCGACUUAUUUAGGGGGGGGGAGACUCGGCUCUUCGUGGACAUGUGGAGGGCAAAGAGAGAAGAAAGGAGAGGUGUCGUCGUUUUUGGCUCUUUCGGUUUUUUCUGUCUCGAUUGAGAAAAUUGUCUAUGCGACUUAUUUAGGGGGGGGGGGACUCGGCUCUUCGUGGACAUGUGGAGGGCAAAGAGAGAAGAAAGGAGAGGUGUCAUCGUUUUUGGCUCUUUCGGUUUCAGCUGUCUCGGUUGAGAAAAUUGUCUAUGCGACUUAUUUAGGGGGGGAGGGGAGACUCGGCUCUUCGUGGACAGGUGGAGGGCAAAGAGAGAAGAAAGGAGAGGUGUCAUCGUUUUUGGCUCUUUCGGUUUCAGCUGUCUCGGUUGAGAAAAUUGUCUAUGCGACUUAUUUAGGGGGGGGGAGACUCGGCUCUUCGUGGACAUGUGGAGGGCAAAGAGAGAAGAAAGGAGAGGUGUCGUCGUUUUUGGCUCUUUCGGUUUUUUCUGUCUCGAUUGAGAAAAUUGUCUAUGCGACUUAUUUAGGGGGGGGGGGACUCGGCUCUUCGUGGACAUGUGGAGGGCAAAGAGAGAAGAAAGGAGAGGCGUCGUCAUUUUUGGCUCUUUCGGUUUCUUCUAUUUCGGUUGAGAAAAUUGUCUAUGCGACUUAUUUAGGGGGGGGAGACUCGGCUC
Molecule: long non-coding RNA, 946 nt
Filed under: Brassica napus (rape)
Lineage: Eukaryota; Viridiplantae; Streptophyta; Magnoliopsida; Brassicales; Brassicaceae
Description: long non-coding RNA (BNAP_LNC010454)
Source: RNAcentral